Pan troglodytes (chimpanzee) is the source of this 117-nucleotide non-coding RNA. It matches the Rfam family "Metazoan signal recognition particle RNA". From Rfam's summary of the family: The signal recognition particle (SRP) is a universally conserved ribonucleoprotein. It is involved in the co-translational targeting of proteins to membranes. The eukaryotic SRP consists of a 300-nucleotide 7S RNA and six proteins: SRPs 72, 68, 54, 19, 14, and 9. The record is from Rfam. Lineage: Eukaryota; Metazoa; Chordata; Mammalia; Primates; Hominidae.
GCUGGGUGUGGUGGCUCACGCCUGUAAUCCUAGCACUUUGGGAGGCCGAGUUGGGAGGUUUGCUUGAGCCCAGGAGUUCCAGACCAGCCUGGGCAACAUGGCGAAACCCCAUCUCUA